CCAGAGAACUUAGCAGAGAUGCUUUGGUGCCUUCGGGAACUCUGAGACAGGUGCUGCAUGGCUGUCGUCAGCUCGUGUUGUGAAAUGUUGGGUUAAGUCCCGCAACGAGCGCAACCCUUAUCCUUUGUUGCCAGCGGCUCGGCCGGGGAACUCAAAGGAGACUGCCGGUGAUAAACCGGAGGAAGGUGGGGAUGACGUCAAGUCAUCAUGGCCCUUACGGCCAGGGCUACACACGUGCUACAAUGGCGCAUACAAAGAGAAGCGACCUCGCGAGAGCAAGCGGACCUCAUAAAGUGCGUCGUAGUCCGGAUUGGAGUCUGCAACUCGACUCCAUGAAGUCGGAAUCGCUAGUAAUCGUAGAUCAGAAUGCUACGGUCGAAUACGUUCCCGGGCCUUGUACACACCGCCCGUCACACCAUGGGAGUGGGUUGCAAAAGAAGUAGGUAGCUUAACCUUCGGGAGGGCGCUUACCACUUUGUGAUUCAUGACUGGGGUGAAGUCGUAACAAGGUAGGCGUAGCGAG
RNAcentral lists this ribosomal RNA (523 nucleotides) under uncultured bacterium. RNAcentral's name for it is "bacterial SSU rRNA". It matches the Rfam family "Bacterial small subunit ribosomal RNA", at positions 988 to 1509 of the family's 1533-position model. The record is from RNAcentral.